CCGGUGUCAAACCGGAGGAAGGUGGGGAUGACGUCAAGUCCUCAUGGCCUUUAUGACCAGGGCUACACACGUACUACAAUGGCCGGUACAAAGGGCAGCGACACAGCGAUGUGAAGCGAAUCCCGAAAAAGCCGGUCUCAGUCCGGAUUGGAGUCUGCAACUCGACUCCAUGAAGUUGGAAUCGCUAGUAAUCGCGGAUCAGCACGCCGCGGUGAAUACGUUCCCGGGCCUU
This 232-nucleotide ribosomal RNA is filed under the name uncultured Desulfocapsa sp. Its description in RNAcentral is "partial 16S ribosomal RNA". It matches the Rfam family "Bacterial small subunit ribosomal RNA", at positions 1152 to 1382 of the family's 1533-position model. Lineage: Bacteria; Pseudomonadati; Thermodesulfobacteriota; Desulfobulbia; Desulfobulbales; Desulfocapsaceae. The record is from RNAcentral.